This 469-nucleotide ribosomal RNA is filed under the name uncultured bacterium. RNAcentral's name for it is "partial 16S ribosomal RNA". It matches the Rfam family "Bacterial small subunit ribosomal RNA", at positions 28 to 507 of the family's 1533-position model. The record is from RNAcentral.
GACGAACGCUGGCGGCGUGCUUAACACAUGCAAGUCGAACGGAAAGGCCCUGCUUUUGUGGGGUGCUCGAGUGGCGAACGGGUGAGUAACACGUGAGUAACCUGCCCUUGACUUUGGGAUAACUUCAGGAAACUGGGGCUAAUACCGGAUAGGAGCUCCUGCUGCAUGGUGGGGGUUGGAAAGUUUCGGGGGUUGGGGAUGGACUCGCGGGUUAUCAGCUUGUUGUUGGGGUAGUGGCUUACCAAGGCUUUGACGGGUAGCCGGGCCGGGAGGGUGACCGGCCACAAUGGGGCCGAGGUAAGGCACAAGCACCCAAGGGGAGGAAGAGGGGGGAAGAAUGGACAAGGGGCGGAAGGCGUGUGCAGAAACAGCGCGGGGGGGAAGGAGGGCUUCGGGGUGUAAAACGCUUUUGGCCAAGACAGAAACUUGAGUGAAGGUAGUGGGUAAAGAAGCACCGGCUAACUACGUG